CCGCUGAGCCCCACGAGCACGGGGCGGGGCCGGGCCGGGCGCCAACGGUCGCUCCGCCCGCUGUGUGAGGAGGGGAGGUCAUUGAGAGGCUGCCGCGUGGUUUGGCUUCAUAAGGAGAGAGAAAACCAACGGUUCUCGCAGCACUGGUGGGAUGGAAAGUGCAGUCAUGCAGGCCACGGUGAUUUCUCAUGAUAUGUAUCCAAGUACGAUGCUUUCUGGAUGAGGAAAAACGCUAUCUGCACUGAGUUUGACUUUGUGAAACUCUAGGACCCCAUCUGGUACAUCAAAGUUCAGAAGCAAGCAGACACUGGAGGACCCACGUGUCUACACAAGUGGCCUAUCACUCUCCUGUGACGUGGGCUGGAAUCCUCCCACACACAGGAGGCUGAGUGCACACCUCCCUCCAAGUCCAGAAGUGCUCUUCCAGCUGUGCUAUGGGAGGAAAUGAUGAAUGCCACCCAUGCCUUCUGUGACUCUCUGGUCACCAGCACCUGACAAGGGCACCAAGCUGUUAAUAAUAAAGAAGUUGUUGAGAGA
Columba livia (rock pigeon) is the source of this 537-nucleotide long non-coding RNA. RefSeq lists it as uncharacterized. The transcript has 4 exons. The record is from RefSeq and is a predicted model, not a curated record. Lineage: Eukaryota; Metazoa; Chordata; Aves; Columbiformes; Columbidae.